AGCGAACGCUGGCGGCAGGCUUAACACAUGCAAGUCGAGCGGACCUUUCGGGGUCAGCGGCGGACGGGUGAGUAACGCGUGGGAACGUGCCUUCCGGUUCGGAAUAACCCUGGGAAACUAGGGCUAAUACCGGAUACGCCCUUAUGGGGAAAGGUUUACUGCCGGAAGAUCGGCCCGCGUCUGAUUAGCUAGUUGGUGGGGUAACGGCCUACCAAGGCGACGAUCAGUAGCUGGUCUGAGAGGAUGAUCAGCCACACUGGGACUGAGACACGGCCCAGACUCCUACGGGAGGCAGCAGUGGGGAAUAUUGGACAAUGGGCGCAAGCCUGAUCCAGCCAUGCCGCGUGAGUGAUGAAGGCCUUAGGGUUGUAAAGCUCUUUUAUCCGGGACGAUAAUGACGGUACCGG
Molecule: ribosomal RNA, 407 nt
Filed under: Methylobacteriaceae bacterium Ellin7069
Lineage: Bacteria; Pseudomonadati; Pseudomonadota; Alphaproteobacteria; Hyphomicrobiales; Methylobacteriaceae
Description: bacterial SSU rRNA
Rfam family: Bacterial small subunit ribosomal RNA
Source: RNAcentral